Molecule: long non-coding RNA, 274 nt
Organism: Ornithorhynchus anatinus (platypus)
Lineage: Eukaryota; Metazoa; Chordata; Mammalia; Monotremata; Ornithorhynchidae
Exons: 2
Source: RefSeq, a predicted model, not a curated record
AGGGCUCGCAGCUGGUUUUGAGCAGGGACAGGAGAACGGGGUAAUACUCGUUGCUGCAGUUGUUGAGAGCCUCUUCGUACAGAGGCCCCACCCCGGCCGCCAGCCGGACCCGACCCACGUCCCCCGUAGGGGACCACCGGUGCAUGUCCGACCGCGGAAACCACCACUCACCGUCGGGAACGGCCGAGCGCCAGCUCCCUCCCCGGGCCCCACGACGGCCGUGCCGAUGCCGCAAAGCUCCGCUAAGUACCUAAUAAUAAUAACAAUAACAAUU